GCUCCAGAUCCCCGGUGAGCCAGUCGCGUCUCCUCUCCUCGGGGACGUCCUCCAGCUCUCCAGCCCCUGUGAUCCUUUCUUCGUCUAACCACGCCCUGCUCCUUGCGCCCCGGGCUGAGCAAGGGUUCCCCUCAGAUGGAGGUGGUUCGUUAGGCUGCUACGUGGCUGCACCUGAGGCGUCCGCCAGGGCAGCAAUGGAGGCUCACGCUGGAGGAAACAAGAUCAAGAGAAUGAUUCCCAAACUGCUGUGCCCUGGAGGACAGGGGGAAAUGCCAUCAAAGGUUACUGCUAGAACAUUCCUUCAGAUAUAUACGAAGGGUAAACCAGAUGGACUCCAGGAAGUAUGCAACAGGCUGGAGCUUGUCCCAUGGCUGGAGCUGAGGUUCUCCUAACAAAUGCUUCCUGGAAGCACCAAGACUUCUGAAGAUUUAAAGAAACAGAGAACUGG
Molecule: long non-coding RNA, 448 nt
Organism: Hyaena hyaena (striped hyena)
Lineage: Eukaryota; Metazoa; Chordata; Mammalia; Carnivora; Hyaenidae
Exons: 3
Source: RefSeq, a predicted model, not a curated record